Molecule: ribosomal RNA, 484 nt
Filed under: uncultured bacterium
Lineage: Bacteria
Description: partial 16S ribosomal RNA
Rfam family: Bacterial small subunit ribosomal RNA
Source: RNAcentral
AUUGAACGCUGGCGGCAGGCCUAACACAUGCAAGUCGAGCGGAUGAAGGGAGCUUGCUCCUGGAUUCAGCUGCGGACGGGUGAGUAAUGCCUAGGAAUCUGCCUGGUAGUGGGGGAUAACGUCCGUAAACGGGCGCUAAUACCGCAUACGUCCUGAUGGAGAAAGUGGGGGAUCUUCGGACCUCACGCUAUCAGAUGAGCCUAGGUCGGAUUAGCUAGUUGGUGGGGUAAAGGCCUACCAAGGCGACUAUCCGUAACUGGUCUGAGAGGAUGAUCAGUCACACUGGAACUGAGACACGGUCCAGACUCCUACGGGAGGCAGCAGUGGGGAAUAUUGGACAAUGGGCGAAAGCCUGAUCCAGCCAUGCCGCGUGUGUGAAGAAGGUCUUCGGAUUGUAAAGCACUUUAAGUUGGGAGGAAGGGCAGUAAGUUAAUACCUUGCUGUUUUGACGUUACCAACAGAAUAAGCACCGGCUAACUUCGUG